Molecule: transfer RNA, 53 nt
Filed under: Nothopoda sp.
Lineage: Eukaryota; Metazoa; Arthropoda; Arachnida; Trombidiformes; Eriophyidae
Description: tRNA-Gln
Source: RNAcentral
AUUCGAUUUAGUGUAUUAACAUAUUAAAUUUUGAUUUUAAAGAUAUAUCGAAG